CAAACGGCCCUUUUCAGGGCCACCACAAAAUACCAAAGUCCACCAC
Non-coding RNA from Cyphomyrmex costatus, 46 nucleotides. The record is from Rfam. Lineage: Eukaryota; Metazoa; Arthropoda; Insecta; Hymenoptera; Formicidae.